UCGAGCUCAUUGUCCUUGCUAAGGACAGGUUCUGCGUUAUAUGGCAUGAUGAUGGUUAUGAUGUCAAUGAAAUUUGCAUUUAUUAUACUAGAUUCUCAGUUUCUUAUGAUCUACCUAAGCCCACUGCCACUGUUGAGGAUAGCAGGGCUUUUCCAAUCAGAGGCGUCGAAAUACUCAAUAUUGUAACUCUGGAUCCACAUUCAGAUGCAAUGGCGAAUGACUUGAGCUGCAACAGUGGAGUUGAUAAUUAGAAGUUGGUGGGGACAAACAAUGAUGAAACGUGUGAUUGGAGGAAUUUACAAGUUUUGGCAGUUCAUAUGAGUAAUUGGAGGAACCCG
This 338-nucleotide unclassified non-coding RNA is filed under the name Hevea brasiliensis (rubber tree). The record is from RNAcentral. Lineage: Eukaryota; Viridiplantae; Streptophyta; Magnoliopsida; Malpighiales; Euphorbiaceae.